This 475-nucleotide ribosomal RNA is filed under the name uncultured bacterium. RNAcentral describes it as "partial 16S ribosomal RNA". It matches the Rfam family "Bacterial small subunit ribosomal RNA", at positions 355 to 822 of the family's 1533-position model. The record is from RNAcentral.
UGGGGAAUUUUGGACAAUGGGCGAAAGCCUGAUCCAGCAAUGCCGCGUGUGUGAAGAAGGCCUUCGGGUUGUAAAGCACUUUUGUCCGGAAAGAAAUGGCUCUGGUUAAUACCUGGGGUCGAUGACGGUACCGGAAGAAUAAGGACCGGCUAACUACGUGCCAGCAGCCGCGGUAAUACGUAGGGUCCAAGCGUUAAUCGGAAUUACUGGGCGUAAAGCGUGCGCAGGCGGUUGUGCAAGACCGAUGUGAAAUCCCCGAGCUUAACUUGGGAAUUGCAUUGGUGACUGCACGGCUAGAGUGUGUCAGAGGGGGGUAGAAUUCCACGUGUAGCAGUGAAAUGCGUAGAGAUGUGGAGGAAUACCGAUGGCGAAGGCAGCCCCCUGGGAUAACACUGACGCUCAUGCACGAAAGCGUGGGGAGCAAACAGGAUUAGAUACCCUGGUAGUCCACGCCCUAAACGAUGUCAACUAGUUG